UGGGGAAUUUUGGACAAUGGGCGAAAGCCUGAUCCAGCAAUGCCGCGUGUGUGAAGAAGGCCUUCGGGUUGUAAAGCACUUUUGUCCGGAAAGAAAUCCUUGGCUCUAAUACAGUCGGGGGAUGACGGUACCGGAAGAAUAAGCACCGGCUAACUACGUGCCAGCAGCCGCGGUAAUACGUAGGGUGCAAGCGUUAAUCGGAAUUACUGGGCGUAAAGCGUGCGCAGGCGGUUUGCUAAGACCGAUGUGAAAUCCCCGGGCUCAACCUGGGAACUGCAUUGGUGACUGGCAGGCUAGAGUAUGGCAGAGGGGGGUAGAAUUCCACGUGUAGCAGUGAAAUGCGUAGAGAUGUGGAGGAAUACCGAUGGCGAAGGCAGCCCCCUGGGCCAAUACUGACGCUCAUGCACGAAAGCGUGGGGGAGCAAACAGGAUUAGAUACCCUGGUAGUCCACGCCCUAAACGAUGUCAACUAGUUGUUGGGGAUUCAUUUCCUUAGUAACGUAGCUAACGCGUGAAGUUGACCGCCUGGGGAGUACGGUCGU
RNAcentral lists this ribosomal RNA (542 nucleotides) under uncultured bacterium. RNAcentral's name for it is "partial 16S ribosomal RNA". It matches the Rfam family "Bacterial small subunit ribosomal RNA", at positions 355 to 889 of the family's 1533-position model. The record is from RNAcentral.